Molecule: long non-coding RNA, 1113 nt
Filed under: Felis catus (domestic cat)
Lineage: Eukaryota; Metazoa; Chordata; Mammalia; Carnivora; Felidae
Description: lncRNA (ENSFCAG00000052743.1)
Source: RNAcentral
UGGAAUUAGACAUCACCCGGUGCCUUUUGACAUGAAAUGUGCGUUAGAAACAAUUUGUGCUUGAAGACUACCGCACACUGCCUCGAGCUUGGAAAUUGUAUUAUGGAAAAUCUAUAAAAGGCACUAAGUAAAGACCUUGCAAACAUAAACUCCGUAUUUCAUGUAGUUUAGCAAAUAGUCGAAUUAAAUUUAUAGCUGAACGAUUUAUUAACCCAAUUUAAUUGUAGAAACAAAACCCAUUUUCACUCUAGUUUAUGUUUCCCUUCAGCAAAUUUGGAUUGCGUGCAUACUAUGCUUCAGGCCCUGUUCUAGGUGCCGUGGUUACAGUCAAACCUUCUUUUUAAAAGAAAAAUAAUGAUCUAUAGUCAUUGGCGUAGCUAUGCUCCAAAGUUGUAAAGGUCUGCAUUGUGAUUCACCCCUAAAGUCUAUAAACGAUUCCUCACUGCAUCCCAUCUGCCCGUAGAUGCUUCAAACACCCCAGGUUACAAAGCAACAUGAACAUCAGUCGGGACCUUUACAGAGUCUUCCGGACCGAGGUGCAAACGCAUAGCGUUUGGGGCUAAACUGAUUGGAAUAACAUUCUCAAAUGAGGGUUUUUCACAAGCAGACUUCUCUACAAAGUUGGGGCAGUGUAUUUUCAAUUUUAAAAUAUUGUGAAAUCAACAGAAAUGGCAAGGGUGGCGAUCUGUGUUUUGGCAGAGGUGUCCGAACAUGAUUCGACCCUGGGAUUCCGUUCUGCAAGCAGGUUCACUGAGGAGAGAAGAAAAAUCUCCACGUAACUACAGCACAAGGCGGAGCGUGGUACGCACACCCAGAGAGGUGAGCUGUGGGCAGGUUCUGAGCCCUAAAGAGACCUCGGAUGUUUGCCGAGGGUUUGGGAAGAUUCCUUGGAGUCUUAGAACUCCUGAGAAUUAGGUCAUGGUCUAUGGAUAGGUCUCUGCCAGAGGCAGAAAAGGCAGAGAAAGAUGCAGGACGUUGUAGGCAGAGGAAAUAGUGAAAACAGGGGAUGGGAAAGGACGCUGUGGGGUAGCGUUUGCAGCACAGGACGUGUACAUUGGCUUAGGUAAGAGACGUACAGAAAAGGACUGGGAGAAACGUCUGAAAGUGCAUGUG